RNAcentral lists this ribosomal RNA (816 nucleotides) under Euhadra scaevola. Its description in RNAcentral is "partial 16S ribosomal RNA". The record is from RNAcentral. Lineage: Eukaryota; Metazoa; Mollusca; Gastropoda; Stylommatophora; Camaenidae.
GAAGUAGUUUGAGCUAAAUAUAAUUGCAAUGUUAGUAGCUUAGGUAUUGGUGUAGCAAAACCAUACCCGAAAUUAUACUUAGGGGUGAUAGGCCUCUCAAAAACUAAGAUAUCUUGACUCCAAUGAAAUGUAUUUAGUACAAAUUAUACAUUUAUUGAGUGUUUAGGCUUAGUAAUUAUAUAAAUUUAUAUGUUUAUUACUAUUACGUUAUAAUAAAUAAAUAUAUUAGAAUAAUAUAAUAUUUCUUUUAGAGUUUAUAGAAAGUAAUUGGAUUAUAAUUGUAGUUAAUAUAUGUUUAAAUAAUGUUUGUAUUAGUAUUUCGGUAAGUUUUUUGUUAGGAACUCGGCAAAAAUUUUCCUCAACUGUUUAUCAAAAACAUAACUAUGUGUAUAUAUACAUAGCGGUAUCUGCUCAAUGAUAUUUUUAAAUAGCCGCAGUAUACUGACUGUGCAAAGGUAGCAUAAUCAAUUGACUUAUAAUUGAAGUCUGGAAUGAAGGAAAGUAUGGGGAGCAACUGUCUUAUAAAUAUAUUGAGAACUUAUUUAUGAAGUGAAAAUCCUUCUCUUUACAUAAUAGACGAGAAGACCCUAGAAAUUUUUAGUAAUAUAGAUAAAAUGUCUUGUAAUUUUUCGCUGGGGCGGCGGAGUAACACAGAACUUACUCUAAUAAACCUGCGCCUUGUUUGGCGAUUGAUAAAUUUACUCUAGGGAUAACAGCAUAAUAUUUUAAAGUUUAUGACCUCGAUGUUGGACUAGGACAUAAUAGCCUAAAAGGUUUUUUAUAAUGCUCUGUUCGAGCAUAAUCUCCUACAUGAUC